CAACACUUAUUGCUGUGUUUGCCUAGUGAUGAUUCUUUAUUUCCCUCUGUUGCUUUACACUUAUUUAUUCAAAUUUUACUGUGAGUUAGAGCUAUUACUUCUCCCCUCUUUAUUAAUUUAAUCCAUAAUUUAUUUAUAUCAGUAUGAACCCUUGGAUAUUUAUUCCAUGGGCUAUAAUCCGAUAUUAUCAUUGUUUUGUUGCUUAGCUUGUUCCAGCUUUGGCCAUUAGGAACUCCUUCAG
This is a non-coding RNA of Ceratotherium simum simum (southern white rhinoceros), 241 nucleotides long. NCBI's taxonomy places the organism in Eukaryota, Metazoa, Chordata, Mammalia, Perissodactyla, Rhinocerotidae. The record is from RefSeq and is a predicted model, not a curated record.